Molecule: transfer RNA, 73 nt
Filed under: bacterium
Lineage: Bacteria
Also listed under: 1 other name
Description: tRNA-Thr
Rfam family: tRNA
About the family: Transfer RNA (tRNA) molecules are approximately 80 nucleotides in length.
Source: RNAcentral
GCCAGCGUAGCUCAGUCGGCAGAGCAGCUGUUUCGUAAACAGCAGGUCUCCAGUUCGAAUCUGGACGCUGGCU